Molecule: ribosomal RNA, 253 nt
Filed under: uncultured bacterium
Lineage: Bacteria
Description: partial 16S ribosomal RNA
Rfam family: Bacterial small subunit ribosomal RNA
Source: RNAcentral
UAUGUAGGGCGCAAGCGUUGUCCGGAAUUAUUGGGCGUAAAGAGCUCGUAGGCGGUUUGUCGCGUCUGCUGUGAAAUCCCGAGGCUCAACCUCGGGCUUGCAGUGGGUACGGGCAGACUAGAGUGCGGUAGGGGAGACUGGAAUUCCUGGUGUAGCGGUGGAAUGCGCAGAUAUCAGGAGGAACACCGGUGGCGAAGGCGGGUCUCUGGGCCGAUACUGACGCUGAGGAGCGAAAGCGUGGGGAGCGAACAGG